UUGUUUUCCUUGUCCGAGCUGUCAUCUGUGAGGAUUCUGUGGUUUAGUUUUGAUUUUGUUAUAUUUGACCAUGUUCUAAGUUAUCAGUCACACCAGUUUCAGGUUUGUCAUGAUCCACAGCUGUCUCAAGUUCCGUUAAUUGCCCCCAGCUUAUUUAAAUGUCUGGUGUUCAGUUAUUCCUUGCGCUGCUCUGUCAUGUUCUGCCACUGUUUUAGGUCUCCAUGUUUUUUUUUUUUUUGUCAUGUUUCAGUUAAUUAAAUAUUUUAAGUUUUUGCCAUCAAGCCCGGUCUCCUACGUUUGGGUCCUCCACCAUCAGUUCCUGACCGCAUCCGACUCCAAGGGAGGAGAUGAGGUUUGCGGAAUACCUCCACACAGCCGAGGCCCGUCAACACUUGAGGAGUGGAGGACAGACGCAGAAUGGUGUUCGUGACAGUGUGGGAAUGAGUCGUUCGCCGUGGUCCAGCACCGUGACAGUGGGAACUGCCUCUCAAUUUGAGCAAAGAUCACCACACUUUCGUUUCUGGAAGAACUCCUGCUUUUUCCCGAGGAACACAGAAAUGUUUCCAGCUAUGAAAUCCUUCCAGAGUCCUGGAGCUGCCAGAAAAAUUUGACGUGUGUGAAGCGUCUCCGUUCUGACAGGUCAGAAUCAAAUCAAUCCAACAUGUUUGGUGGAUUUCCAUUCUCUUAGUCAAAUUGUACCGUUACAUCAUAACUGCAGUGAAUUAAGUUAAACUUUGUGAUGAAGUUUGAGCUGCAGCUGCUAAAGCUGUAGAAAAAGAUCUUUUACAAACAUGACAAAACCUUUUUGCUCAGUUAACAGACCCUGAAGUGAGAAAAUAAUUCAAUUUAAUUUCAUAUAUUUGGUAAAAAUUCAAAAAGAAGUCUCAUUUAAACUCACAAAAGCAUAAAAUACAACAAUUCAGCACCAUUUAUGUCCAUAUUUCAAUAUUUUAAAUGCAGAAAAAGAGAGAAACUAUUUCCCUGCAUUUAUUUUAAAUUAACAUUAAUGCCAUUUCAAAAUUUAAUAAUUUUAAAAGACAGCAUUCACUUAUGUAUUUUAAAUGGUAUAAACUCACUUUGAGCACUUUUCAGUAACAGUCAUAUUCACACAUUUGUGCUCACCUAUUACGGCCAGGACCAUCGUGGGGCUCAGUGUCUUUGGACACUUCGACAACCAAACCUGCAAUCUGCAGGUCAAAGGUGAACACUCCAUCUCUGCACCACGACAAUAGAUGCCAUUUCCAUGUUUAACCUUCCUGGAGAAAUUUACUUUACAUAUAGAUGUAAUUACAAUUACAUAAAAAAAACUCUGUAUUCAGAAAUGGAAUCUCGUCUGAGUCUAUGUGUGAAGGACAUGGUUAAAUUAGAAAAAAAGAAGCUUUAACAUGUGCUUCCAACACAUUUCUUCAAUUUAUCAUCCCUUACCGACAUCUUUUAUAGUGAUUAUUUCUUUUUAUUUUACCCCAGAUGACUUCAUUCUUCUUUCAUGAAAAUGGACCGUAUUCUUUCCACCCAGAGUCUGUUUUCCAUUGUCAGAGGUGGUUGUGAGGCAGGUCUGCAAAAAUAAAAAAAAAAAAAGGAAGAAAGAAGUCUUUGGUGUUUGUGUUUAUAUGUGUCAGCGUCUGUGGGCAAAUUUAUAGCUUACAGUUGCAGACAGUUUAUGUGUGCAGACGUUGCUUGAAAUCCACUUGGGUCGGUUGUCUGAAACACUAUUCCAAUACGACAACAAGAAGAAAAGUCAAAGAGGCUCUUGUUUCUCUGCGGAUCCAUCAAGCCUGACUGUAUUCAUCUCAACACAGCGCAGUAUCAGCACAACCACACAACACUGUCUACACGUUUGCCACCCUAUACUCUCUGAGUCUCCCUUUCAGAAGCGGUUAAAGCAGCACUUACUGAAAUCAGUGAUUGUUAGAGCUGCAUGUUGGUGAGCAGUAAAAGUCCUUUCUGUUUGUUUGUCUUUGAGUAUUCCUGUUGUGUUGCUGUAAGACAGAUGCUGCUGCCUCUUACAUGUCCUGUGGGAGUCCUUCAUGUUUAUUUCAUCAGAUCGAGUAUUGCAGAACAAUCUUUGCUCUGUUUUCUUUAAAGGUUCCACAGUUACUUCAUUUUCCUCUACGAGAAUGCGCAAUCAAGUCGAGAUUAUGCACAACAAUAAACCAAUCGUUUACAAUGUGUGAACAACUUUGUUUGCACGUCAUUGCAAUGGCAACAUUUAAUGAGGUGUUUGAAGCUGAAAUUAUUUUUCCUUUUCUCCCUUACCAUAUGCCGUCUUUUUUUACAUUGUUCAUUAACAUCUGCAUUUGCGAUUAAAGUGGCUCUAAGGUAAUAACA
This is a long non-coding RNA of Oryzias melastigma (Indian medaka), 2328 nucleotides long. RefSeq lists it as uncharacterized. The transcript is spliced from 3 exons. NCBI's taxonomy places the organism in Eukaryota, Metazoa, Chordata, Actinopteri, Beloniformes, Adrianichthyidae. The record is from RefSeq and is a predicted model, not a curated record.